RNAcentral lists this long non-coding RNA (1651 nucleotides) under Panthera leo (lion). RNAcentral describes it as "lncRNA (ENSPLOG00000000209.1)". The record is from RNAcentral. Lineage: Eukaryota; Metazoa; Chordata; Mammalia; Carnivora; Felidae.
UGCUGGCCAUGCGUGCCAUCUGUGGCAAAGUCUUCUGUUGCCACUGCAGAAUGAAGCUAGCACACAUGGUAUUGGCCAUCAGCCAAAACUGAUUGUUCCAAGGCCCUGGGGCCACCAGCCAAGGUUCUACCACCUACUGGGUCUCUGGCUUUGGCUAGGGGCCUAUGCUGCCCUGCUGGAUAUGUGGAAUAGCACUUGACUGCUGGGCAUGGAUGAGGUUAAGGGUGAGAAGCAUAAUGCCAUGUGUUCUAUACCAUUAUGCGUCUCUUCCUGCCUCUGGGUCCUUAUGAUGAACCUUCGUCAAGGUCAACACCGUACCCCAUCACUGUCAGGCCACUGAGAUUUGUCUAGGUUGCUAUUGGCCCCACUUGGCUUCCCAGUCAAUGAGGACCUCAAGAACUGCCUGUGGACCAAGGCCCCCUGCCAGUGCAUGAGACACACACCUACCUUCCCCAGCCUUCUAGGAACCCUACUGCUUGCCAGACUGAUGGGCGGGUAUGUGACAUGUGCUCACUGUCAUCGUGCUGCGGCUCCAGGUGUGGCCUUGCGUAUGUGGAAGAUUGAUGCUAUAUGCUGCUUAUUUUUGCCAUAAGUAAAAUCUUACCACUAAUGGGAAUAUGUAGCAGAGUAGGUCUGCUUUUUUUUUUUUUUUUUUUUUAAUGUUUUUCUCUUUAUUGUGGACAUUUUCAGACAUGCACAGAAGUGGAGAGGAUGGUCCCUGGACCCUGAGUACCCAUCACCUAGCUACAUCAAUUAUGAUCAACCUGGUAUCUUCCUCUCCCCACCUAUAUUGUUGAUGGAAAGUCCAACACUGUGCCAAUUUAAACUUGACUACUUUGGGAGAUCAGGACUCUCUUUUGGUGGUGAUAGUGGUGGGGUGCACUAUCAUGAUCACAUCAGGUCUGCUUUUUGCUUUGAAUGUUAACUGAUGAAGUUCUAGAAAUGGGCCUUAGAAGUGAAAGUCUUCAAGAUUAACAGGGAGUACUCAAAAAGAGAUGAAAAUGUGCUCUCUUUCCCCUGCAUCACAACAGGAGAGAGACUGUUGUGUUGUAAAUCUUUCAAAGACUGAUAUAAGGUGCUUACUUGAGACCCUUCACCAGAAUAUCAGUCUUUUUUGCCUGUAAAAGAUGGAGACUUGUGUGACUGUUAGAAAUACCAUCAGCUUGUCCUGGUCUCGUGAUAUAACUGUGGUCUUGAAAGUAUAAUUUGGUAAUUGUUGCUGUGUUCUGUAAAAAUAAUCUCCCAAAAGUAAUCAGUAACUGGUUGUCUUACUUGCUAAUUUGACAUCCUGGUAAUAAUGCAAUUAUUCCUUUGUUCCUAAGUAUAAAUAGUUGUAAGCCUGCAUGCAUUAUGGAAAAAUAAAAAUCUGUAUCUCUGUUAUAUUUUUUAUUUUUAAAAAAGAAUUGGAAGGUUAAGCUGAAGCUGGGUAGUUGAGGGGAUGUGUACAUUGGCCUCGAGUGAUUCCUAGGUCUCAGGCCCUUGUGUGACUAGCUAUAUCACAAUACACAAAAUUCAGAUUCCCAAGCCCUUAGCAGAUAAUGACAUUCUGUGGUUCUGGGAGGAAGCCAGGGAGUUCUUGUUCUUAACAAGUUUUCCAGGUGAUUGUAGUGUAAAUCCAGUGCUUCUCAAAUUUUAGAGUACAUCUGAAUUG